ACCGCACAAGCGGUGGAUGAUGUGGAUUAAUUCGAUGCAACGCGAAAACCUUACCUACCCUUGACAUGUCUGGAACCUUGCUGAGAGGCGAGGUGCCUUCGGGAGGCCAGAACACAGGUGCUGCACUGGCUGUCGUCAGCUCGUGUCGUGAGAUGUUGGGUUAAGUCCCGCAACGAGCGCAACCCUUGUCACUAGUUGCCAUCAUUUGGUUGGGCACUCUAGUGAGACUGCCGGUGACAAACCGGAGGAAGGUGGGGAUGACGUCAAGUCCUCAUGGCCCUUAUGGGUAGGGCUUCACACGUCAUACAAUGGUCGGUACAGAGGGUUGCCAAGCCGCGAGGUGGAGCCAAUCCCUUAAAGCCGAUCGUAGUCCGGAUCGUAGUCUGCAACUCGACUACGUGAAGUCGGAAUCGCUAGUAAUCGGCAGAUCAGCAUGCUGCGGUGAAUACGUUCCCGGGUCUUGUACACGACC
Molecule: ribosomal RNA, 472 nt
Filed under: uncultured bacterium
Lineage: Bacteria
Description: bacterial SSU rRNA
Rfam family: Bacterial small subunit ribosomal RNA
Source: RNAcentral